Molecule: long non-coding RNA, 1472 nt
Filed under: Hordeum vulgare
Lineage: Eukaryota; Viridiplantae; Streptophyta; Magnoliopsida; Poales; Poaceae
Description: long non-coding RNA (HVUL_LNC007154)
Source: RNAcentral
UUUGACGUGCGCGCGCUGAUUGUGCUAUUUAGAGUUUCUUCUUCUUCGUCGUCGAUCUAGGAUGGGUUCCACGCAUCAGCCUGGGAUAGCAAGGAUGGAUGUUGUUAUUUUAUCGUUUGUUUUUGUCCGUAGUCGUACCCUGCUCUUAUCCAUGAUGAUUGUAUGUAUUGUACUGAUGUGACUCUGAUGUAGCUUGUGGUGAGUGUAAGCCAAUUCCAUAUACUCACAUUUUCAGUACAUGUACUUGUAACGAUAUCCAUUCUUGCAAAAUGACCAGAUGCGCUUCUAUCCCUGUCGAGGUCCUCGCGCCAAAAUAAGGAUAGGAUCGCAUCUUGGUCGUUACAAGUUGGUAUCAGAGCAGUACCGACCUAGGAGCCCCCUUGAUUAAUCGAAUUUGGCUGAGUCGAGUCUAGUGGAAAACUGCUUUGAGUCUAGUUAUAUAUCGGAGAGUAGGAUUCUUUUUUCUCCUCUUCUAUUCUCUGGUGUGGAAUCUUGACAUAAUUAUUUUAAUUCUACUCCUCUUCUCACUCAAUUUUUUUAGGAUCACGCGGAUAUUUUGGAAUCUAUAUGAUGUCGAUGUGACGGAAUUCUGACUUGCUUCCUCCUGUUGUGUUGAUUUUAUUCCGGGGAGUUAAUAUCCAAGGGAUUCUUGAGCACAUCGUUAUCAUUCAGAUUUCUUAGUAUCUCAGGACAGAGGAUGUUCGAAAUUGCUUCAAUACUGCUAGUGGCGAGAUAACCCCGACAUCCCCAGUACUUGUGCACAGAGUUCGGAAGUAUCGCCAUACUUAGUAUCGUUGUGAUUACGAGGGUUUGAGAUAGACGAGGUUCUGAUAUUCUGGUUAUGUGUUGAUGGAUGUGAUACACUGGACAGGUUAGAUGCUAGGAGUUGAGUGAUGAUUUUCACCUUGUAUCCAUGGACCCGAUUGCAUGACCAGAAAUUUUGGGAGUUCUUAGGUGGGAAUUCAAGUAGUUAUUUAUAGGACAAUCUUCCAACAGAUGCAUGAUGUGUGUUUGGGGUUCGACAUCUAGUGGAUUCAUUUGUUCACGAUCGUCUUACAAUGGUUCUCGUUGUGUCUUAAAGAGUCCUUGUAGAUUGCUACAACUCGGGGAUGCUUCGUAUGUCGUGUGCACUGCCUUGUACAUGAUGGCUACUGUAGGAUAGAGCCCGUGCGAGCCUCAUCAGCGAAAAUAUCGGACAGAACUCUCUCAUGAAUUUGUUCUGGCUUGUUUCGUAAGCCUCAUCCUUUGUUUUGUUAGAGUAUGGUAAUUCGAGUUGCUUCGAUGUCAAGUAGCGAAUUCAUACCUUUCGAAGAAGUGUUCUCAUAAUUUUAUGGGAAUGCAAAUUCUUUUGCUCAAUCAAGUUGUGUUUUCAAUUCUUGUCAACCGGAGUCGUCAUGUGAAUUCUUUUUCAACCGGUGUGCUUCUCUUCAAGUGAAUUCAAUCCUGUCCAAUAUUUCAAGAUUAAUCCCUCA